CGCUCGCUGCUUUUCUUUCUCUUUCUUGCGCACCUCGUGGUUGCUAGCCAUCUCUCUGCUACUUAAGCGAUUAAAACGUGCGUACCGCGUUACACGCGAGGAGCAGGUCGCCACGCGCCCAGACCACCGUGAUAGAUGUUGUGACUUGAUAGUGAUUAUCUACUGGAUGGGUUCCUGUGUGAUUUUUAAGCGCAGUUCAAUGAAAUGGUUGACUUUACAAUGUGAACAUCUGAUCCUGGACCCUGCUUCAGCACUGAGCUGGUCAAUCUCUUGCUUGAAUCUUCCUUAGAUGAAUCUGUUUCCAGAACCCGUCUGAAGCAUGUUUUCUGUCUAUAGAUCGAUCAGAAGCCACCGUGAAGUCUCUUGAUUCACCUGGAUGCAGUGCUAAGCGCUCCAUGGUGACCGUGACGAAUGCUGGAGAUUGACGUCAGACCAAAUGUCUUUACAAUGUUUAUUAAAUAAAAACGAUGUAAACUC
This is a long non-coding RNA of Carassius gibelio (silver crucian carp), 477 nucleotides long. RefSeq lists it as uncharacterized. The transcript is spliced from 4 exons. The record is from RefSeq and is a predicted model, not a curated record. Lineage: Eukaryota; Metazoa; Chordata; Actinopteri; Cypriniformes; Cyprinidae.